UACAGAGGGGGCAAGCGUUGUUCGGAAUUACUGGGCGUAAAGGGUUCGUAGGUGGCUUGCUAAGUCAGACGUGAAAUCCCUCAGCUUAACUGGGGAACUGCGUCUGAUACUGGCGAGCUUGAGUGCAGGAGAGGAACGCGGAAUUCCAGGUGUAGCGGUGAAAUUCGUAGAUAUCGGGAGGAACACCAGUGGCGAAGGCGGCGACCUGGGCCAAUAUUGACGCUGAGGUGCGAAAGCGUGGGGAGCAAACAGG
Molecule: ribosomal RNA, 253 nt
Filed under: uncultured bacterium
Lineage: Bacteria
Description: partial 16S ribosomal RNA
Rfam family: Bacterial small subunit ribosomal RNA
Source: RNAcentral